AGAAUCAACGCUGGCGGCGUGCCUAACACAUGCAAGUCGAACGAGAAAGUGGAGCAAUCCAUGAGUAAAGUGGCGCACGGGUGAGUAACACGUGACUAACCUACCCUUGAGUGGGGGAUAACCUAGGGAAACCUGGGCUAAUACCGCAUAAUACCUUCGGGUCAAAGGAGCAAUUCGCUUUAGGAGGGGGUCGCGGCCGAUUAGUUAGUUGGCGGGGUAAUGGCCCACCAAGACUGUGAUCGGUAUCCGGCCUGAGAGGGCGCACGGACACACUGGAACUGAAACACGGUCCAGACUCCUACGGGAGGCAGCAGUGGGGAAUUUGCGCAAUGGGGGAAACCCUGACGCAGCAACGCCGCGUGGAGGAUGAAGCCCCUUGGGGCGUAAACUCCUUUCGAUCGGGAAGAUAAUGACGGUACCGAGAGAAGAAGCCCCGGCUAACUUCGUGCCAGCAGCCGC
This 459-nucleotide ribosomal RNA is filed under the name uncultured bacterium. Its description in RNAcentral is "SSU rRNA". It matches the Rfam family "Bacterial small subunit ribosomal RNA", at positions 26 to 518 of the family's 1533-position model. The record is from RNAcentral.